This 254-nucleotide ribosomal RNA is filed under the name uncultured bacterium. RNAcentral's name for it is "partial 16S ribosomal RNA". It matches the Rfam family "Bacterial small subunit ribosomal RNA", at positions 524 to 776 of the family's 1533-position model. The record is from RNAcentral.
GACGUAGGGCGCGAGCGUUGUCCGGAUUUAUUGGGCGUAAAGAGCUCGUAGGUGGUUCGGUAAGUCGGGUGUUAAACCCCCAGGCUCAACCUGGGGACGCCACUCGAUACUGCCGUGACUAGAGUUCGGUAGGGGAGUGUGGAAUUCCUGGUGGAGCGGUGAAAUGCGCAGAUAUCAGGAGGAACACCCGUAGCGAAGGCGGCACUCUGGGCCGAUACUGACACUGAGGAGCGAAAGCGUGGGGAGCGAACAGG